GCGAAUGUAGCCAAGUGGAUCAAGGCAG
Molecule: transfer RNA, 28 nt
Filed under: Trifolium repens (white clover)
Lineage: Eukaryota; Viridiplantae; Streptophyta; Magnoliopsida; Fabales; Fabaceae
Description: partial tRNA-His
Source: RNAcentral